GAUGAACGCUGGCGGCGUGCCUAAUACAUGCAAGUCGAGCGAACAGACGAGGAGCUUGCUCCUCUGACGUUAGCGGCGGACGGGUGAGUAACACGUGGAUAACCUACCUAUAAGACUGGGAUAACUUUGGGAAACCGGAGCUAAUACCGGAUAAUAUAUUGAACCGCAUGGUUCAAUAGUGAAAGACGGUUUUGCUGUCACUUAUAGAUGGAUCCGCGCCGCAUUAGCUAGUUGGUAAGGUAACGGCUUACCAAGGCGACGAUGCGUAGCCGACCUGAGAGGGUGAUCGGCCACACUGGAACUGAGACACGGUCCAGACUCCUACGGGAGGCAGCAGUAGGGAAUCUUCCGCAAUGGGCGGAAGCCUGACGGAGCAACGCCGCGUGAGUGAUGAAGGUCUUCGGAUCGUAAAACUCUGUUAUUAGGGAAGAACAAAUGUGUAAGUAACUAUGCACGUCUUGACGGUACCUAAUCAGAAAGCCACGGCUAACUACGUG
Molecule: ribosomal RNA, 497 nt
Filed under: uncultured bacterium
Lineage: Bacteria
Description: partial 16S ribosomal RNA
Rfam family: Bacterial small subunit ribosomal RNA
Source: RNAcentral